RNAcentral lists this non-coding RNA (21 nucleotides) under Caenorhabditis elegans. The record is from RNAcentral. Lineage: Eukaryota; Metazoa; Nematoda; Chromadorea; Rhabditida; Rhabditidae.
UUAUGAUCUGACAACUCGUUU